This 253-nucleotide ribosomal RNA is filed under the name uncultured bacterium. Its description in RNAcentral is "partial 16S ribosomal RNA". It matches the Rfam family "Bacterial small subunit ribosomal RNA", at positions 524 to 776 of the family's 1533-position model. The record is from RNAcentral.
UACGAAGGGGGCGAGCGUUGUUCGGAAUUACUGGGCGUAAAGCGUGCGCAGGCGGUGAUGUAAGACAGAUGUGAAAUCCCCGGGCUCAACCUGGGAACUGCGUUUGUGACUGCAUCGCUGGAGUGCGGCAGAGGGGGAUGGAAUUCCGCGUGUAGCAGUGAAAUGCGUAGAUAUGCGGAGGAACACCGAUGGCGAAGGCAAUCCCCUGGGCCUGCACUGACGCUCAUGCACGAAAGCGUGGGGAGCAAACAGG